AGAGCGAACGCUGGCGGCAUGCUUAACACAUGCAAGUCGCACGGCUGGGGCAACCCAGCAGUGGCGGACGGGUGAGUAACGCGUAGGUAUCUAUCUCCGGGUGGGGGACAACUGUGGGAAACUACAGCUAAUACCGCAUGAUGCCCGAGGGCCAAAGGCGCAAGUCACCUGGAGAGGAGCCUGCGUACGAUUAGCUUGUUGGCGGGUAACAGCCCACAAGGCGACGAUCGUUAGCUGGUCUGAGAGGAUGAUCAGCCACACUGGGACUGAGACACGGCCCAGACUCCUACGGAGGCAGCAGUGGGGAAUAUUGGACAAUGGGCGCAAGCCUGAUCCAGCAAUGCCGCGUGAGUGAAGAAGGUCUUCGGAUUGUAAAGCUCUUUCGACGGGGACGAUGAUGACGGUACCCGUAGAAGAAGCCCCGGCUAACUUCGUGCCAGCAGCCGC
RNAcentral lists this ribosomal RNA (447 nucleotides) under uncultured bacterium. RNAcentral's name for it is "SSU rRNA". It matches the Rfam family "Bacterial small subunit ribosomal RNA", at positions 26 to 518 of the family's 1533-position model. The record is from RNAcentral.